GAUGAACGCUGGCGGCGUGCCUAAUACAUGCAAGUCGAGCGAACGGACGAGAAGCUUGCUUCUCUGAUGUUAGCGGCGGACGGGUGAGUAACACGUGGAUAACCUACCUAUAAGACUGGGAUAACUUCGGGAAACCGGAGCUAAUACCGGAUAAUAUUUUGAACCGCAUGGUUCAAAAGUGAAAGACGGUCUUGCUGUCACUUAUAGAUGGAUCCGCGCUGCAUUAGCUAGUUGGUAAGGUAACGGCUUACCAAGGCAACGAUGCAUAGCCGACCUGAGAGGGUGAUCGGCCACACUGGAACUGAGACACAGUCCAGACUCCUACGGGAGGCAGCAGUAGGGAAUCUUCCGCAAUGGGCGAAAGCCUGACGGAGCAACGCCGCGUGAGUGAUGAAGGUCUUCGGAUCGUAAAACUCUGUUAUUAGGGAAGAACAUAUGUGUAAGUAACUGUGCACAUCUUGACGGUACCUAACCAGAAAGCCACGGCUAACUACGUGCCAGCAGCCGCGGUAAUACGUAGGUGGCAAGCGUUAUCCGGAAUUUAUGGGCGUAAGCGCGCGUAGGCGGUUUUUUAGUCUGAUGUGAAAGCCCACGGCUCAACCGUGGAGGGUCAUUGGAAACUGGAAAACUUGAGUGCAGAAGAGGAAAGUGGAAUUCCAUGUGUAGCGGUGAAAUGCGCAGAGAUAUGGAGGAACACCAGUGGCGAAGGCGACUUUCUGGUCUGUAACUGACGCUGAUGUGCGAAAGCGUGGGGAUCAAACAGGAUUAGAUACCCUGGUAGUCCACGCCGUAAACGAUGAGUGCUAAGUGUUAGGGGGUUUCCGCCCCUUAGUGCUGCAGCUAACGCAUUAAGCACUCCGCCUGGGGAGUACGACCGCAAGGUUGAAACUCAAAGGAAUUGACGGGGACCCGCACAAGCGGUGGAGCAUGUGGUUUAAUUCGAAGCAACGCGAAGAACCUUACCAAAUCUUGACAUCCUUUGACAACUCUAGAGAUAGAGCCUUCCCCUUCGGGGGACAAAGUGACAGGUGGUGCAUGGUUGUCGUCAGCUCGUGUCGUGAGAUGUUGGGUUAAGUCCCGCAACGAGCGCAACCCUUAAGCUUAGUUGCCAUCAUUAAGUUGGGCACUCUAAGUUGACUGCCGGUGACAAACCGGAGGAAGGUGGGGAUGACGUCAAAUCAUCAUGCCCCUUAUGAUUUGGGCUACACACGUGCUACAAUGGACAAUACAAAGGGCAGCGAAACCGCGAGGUCAAGCAAAUCCCAUAAAGUUGUUCUCAGUUCGGAUUGUAGUCUGCAACUCGACUACAUGAAGCUGGAAUCGCUAGUAAUCGUAGAUCAGCAUGCUACGGUGAAUACGUUCCCGGGUCU
Molecule: ribosomal RNA, 1370 nt
Filed under: uncultured bacterium
Lineage: Bacteria
Description: bacterial SSU rRNA
Rfam family: Bacterial small subunit ribosomal RNA
Source: RNAcentral